This 460-nucleotide ribosomal RNA is filed under the name uncultured bacterium. Its description in RNAcentral is "partial 16S ribosomal RNA". It matches the Rfam family "Bacterial small subunit ribosomal RNA", at positions 338 to 795 of the family's 1533-position model. The record is from RNAcentral.
CCUACGGGUGGCAGCAGUGAGGAAUAUUGGUCAAUGGACGGAAGUCUGAACCAGCCAUGCCGCGUGCCGGAAGACGGCUCUAUGAGUUGUAAACUGCUUUUGUACAAGGGUAAACCUGAAUACGUGUAUUUAGCUGAAAGUACUGUACGAAUAAGGAUCGGCUAACUCCGUGCCAGCAGCCGCGGUAAUACGGAGGAUCCAAGCGUUAUCCGGAUUUAUUGGGUUUAAAGGGUGCGUAGGCGGAUUGAUAAGUUAGAGGGGAAAUGUCCGAGCUCAACUCGGGAACUGCCUCUAAUACUGUUGAUCUAGAGAGUAGAUGCGGUAGGCGGAAUGUAUGGUGUAGCGGUGAAAUGCUUAGAGAUCAUACAGAACACCGAUUGCGAAGGCAGCUUACCAAUCUAUAUCUGACGUUGAGGCACGAAAGCGUGGGGAGCAAACAGGAUUAGAUACCCCUGUAGUC